This 456-nucleotide ribosomal RNA is filed under the name Haemaphysalis qinghaiensis. RNAcentral's name for it is "partial 16S ribosomal RNA". The stretch from base 310 to 456 matches the Rfam family "Archaeal large subunit ribosomal RNA", at positions 2542 to 2689 of the family's 2987-position model. Lineage: Eukaryota; Metazoa; Arthropoda; Arachnida; Ixodida; Ixodidae. The record is from RNAcentral.
UCUGCUCAAUGAUUUUUUAAAUUGCUGUGGUAUUUUGACUAUACAAAGGUAUUGUAAUAAGGCUUUAAUUGAGUGCUAAAAGAAUGGACUUUCAAAAAAAGUCUAUCUUGAAUUUAAUAAUUGAAUUUAUUUUUAUUUGUGAAGAAACAAUAAUUUAAAUUAAGGACAAGAAGACCCUAAGAAUUUUUAAAUUCAAAAUAAAAGGAAUUUUUUUUUGAAUUUUUAAUUGGGGCGAUUAAAAAAUAUUAUUAACUUUUAAUUUCAAAAAAUGAUCCAUUAUUAAUGAUUUAAUGUAAAAAAUACUCUAGGGAUAACAGCGUAAUAAUUUUGGAUAGAUCUUAUAGAAAAAAUAGUUUGCGACCUCGAUGUUGGAUUAGGAUCCUUUUUUAAUGAAGAAGUUAAAAAAAGAAGUUUGUUCAACUUUUGAAAUCCUACUUGAUCUGAGUUCAGACCGGA